GUAAGAAGUUACUUCGGUACAUCGGUGACAGGUGGUGCAUGGUUGUCGUCAGCUCGUGUCGUGAGAUGUUGGGUUAAGUCCCGCAACGAGCGCAACCCCUAUUGUUAGUUGCCAUCAUUCAGUUGGGCACUCUAGCGAGACUGCCGGUAAUAAACCGGAGGAAGGUGGGAUGACGUCAAAUCAUCAUGCCCCUUAUGACCUGGGCUACACACGUGCUACAAUGGCUGGUACAACGAGUUGCGAGUCGGUGACGGCGAGCUAAUCUCUUAAAGCCAAUCUCAGUUCGGAUUGUAGGCUGCAACUCGCCUACAUGAAGUCGGAAUCGCUAGUAAUCGCGGAUCAGCACGCCGCGGUCGAAUACGUUCCGGGCCUU
Molecule: ribosomal RNA, 373 nt
Filed under: uncultured Streptococcus sp.
Lineage: Bacteria; Bacillati; Bacillota; Bacilli; Lactobacillales; Streptococcaceae
Description: bacterial SSU rRNA
Rfam family: Bacterial small subunit ribosomal RNA
Source: RNAcentral